CUUAGUGGCGGACUGGUGAGUAACGCGUGAGGAACCUACCUUCCAGAGGGGGACAACAGUUGGAAACGACUGCUAAUACCGCAUAAGCCCACGGUACCGCAUGGUACUGAGGGAAAAGGAUUUAUUCGCUUUAGGAUGGACUCGCGUCCAAUUAGCUAGUUGGUGAGGUAACGGCCCACCAAGGCGACGAUUGGUAGCCGGACUGAGAGGUUGAACGGCCACAUUGGGACUGAGACACGGCCCAG
This 245-nucleotide ribosomal RNA is filed under the name uncultured bacterium. RNAcentral describes it as "partial 16S ribosomal RNA". It matches the Rfam family "Bacterial small subunit ribosomal RNA", at positions 91 to 334 of the family's 1533-position model. The record is from RNAcentral.